Molecule: ribosomal RNA, 253 nt
Filed under: uncultured bacterium
Lineage: Bacteria
Description: partial 16S ribosomal RNA
Rfam family: Bacterial small subunit ribosomal RNA
Source: RNAcentral
UACGUAGGGUGCAAGCGUUGUCCGGAAUUAUUGGGCGUAAAGAGCGUGUAGGCGGCCAGGUAGGUCUGCUGUGAAAACUCGAGGCUCAACCUCGAGACGUCGGCGGAAACCAUCUGGCUAGAGUCCGGAAGAGGAGAGUGGAAUUCCUGGUGUAGCGGUGAAAUGCGUAGAUAUCUGGAGGAACACCGGUGGCGAAGGCGGCAUCCUGGACCGGCAUUGACGCUGAUGAGCGAAAGCCAGGGGAGCAAACGGG